AUACGGAGGGAGCAAGCGUUAUUCGGAAUCACUGGGCGUAAAGGACGCGUAGGCGGGUUUGGAAGUCAGGUGUGAAAUCCUACAGCUCAACUGUAGAACUGCACUUGAAACUACAGACCUAGAGUAUGGAAGGGGCAGAUGGAAUUAGUGGUGUAGGGGUAAAAUCCGUAGAUAUCACUAGGAAUACCGAAAGCGAAGGCGAUCUGCUGGGACAUUACUGACGCUGAGGCGUGAAAGCGUGGGGAGCAAACAGGAUUAGAAACCCCAGUAGUCC
This 274-nucleotide ribosomal RNA is filed under the name uncultured bacterium. RNAcentral's name for it is "partial 16S ribosomal RNA". It matches the Rfam family "Bacterial small subunit ribosomal RNA", at positions 523 to 796 of the family's 1533-position model. The record is from RNAcentral.